GGCUGCGGCAUCAUCUGGCGCAGUCCAGUCAGGAUUGUAUGGGCAGCCCCGUGCGAGUGAGUUCGAGUAAAAUCAGUCGUCGCGGUUAUCCGCUGAAUAAGUGCGACGAGACGCGUCGAACGACGUAUUCCGAGAAUUACUUUCAAGGAUUGCUUUUGCGAAAUUAUUAGCAAUCUCAUUCCGAAUCUUGCGCCGAAAAGAUAUAUAUUGUGAACAACGUGAGGAAGUGCGCGUGAUAGUGCGGCGAUUAGGGUUGCUUGUCUUAAAGAUAGAAAGAUACCUUUGGAAGGCGAAUUGGUUUGUAGGAAAAUAGCUGAAUACGAAACUUGAGUUUGAACAGGUCGGUGGAACGAUGCGAUAUUGUUUGGAGUAAUGGAGACACCUCGAUCCGAGAAAUGUCACCUGGCCGGGGACAAGUGGUGAAAUAAUGGUAACACCAAGUGAAGUAAUAGAGCACGAGCGAGAAUGAAUAAUGUGUUCAGCCAUUUAUACACUUUCGCGUUUCCACUAAACAAAUCUUGGAGAGAAAUUAUUUUUGUAAUAGAAACAUUGCAAAUUGUUGUCACAGUAUUAGGAAAA
Long non-coding RNA from Pogonomyrmex barbatus (red harvester ant), 579 nucleotides. Lineage: Eukaryota; Metazoa; Arthropoda; Insecta; Hymenoptera; Formicidae. The record is from RefSeq and is a predicted model, not a curated record.